CAGAGUACGGGAUAUUGGUAUAGUUCAAUCAGAGGGCAACACUCUUUAAAUUUAGAGUUUUUGCUAUUUGAUUGAGCCGUGCCAAUAUCACGUACGUACGU
This is a microRNA precursor of Cephalotus follicularis, 101 nucleotides long. The record is from Rfam. NCBI's taxonomy places the organism in Eukaryota, Viridiplantae, Streptophyta, Magnoliopsida, Oxalidales, Cephalotaceae.